This 331-nucleotide unclassified non-coding RNA is filed under the name soil metagenome. Its description in RNAcentral is "partial contains 5.8S ribosomal RNA, internal transcribed spacer 2, and large subunit ribosomal RNA". The stretch from base 1 to 120 matches the Rfam family "5.8S ribosomal RNA", at positions 35 to 154 of the family's 154-position model. The record is from RNAcentral.
GAUGAAGAACGUAGCGAAAUGCGAUAAGUAAUGUGAAUUGCAGAAUUCAGUGAAUCAUCGAAUCUUUGAACGCACAUUGCGCCCCCUGGUAUUCCGGGGGGCAUGCCUGUUCGAGCGUCAUUUCACCACUCAAGCCUCGCUUGGUAUUGGGCAACGCGGUCCGCCGCGUGCCUCAAAUCGUCCGGCUGGGUCUUCUGUCCCCUAAGCGUUGUGGAAACUAUUCGCUAAAGGGUGUUCGGGAGGCUACGCCGUAAAAAAACCCCAUUUCUAAGGUUGACCUCGGAUCAGGUAGGGAUACCCGCUGAACUUAAGCAUAUCAAUAAGCGGAGGA